ACUCUUGUGGCGAAAAUGGUAAACGCGGUGGCCCGAGGAGCCAUAGUCUUUGACUUAUGGGUUCAAUUCCCAUCAAGAGUA
RNAcentral lists this transfer RNA (81 nucleotides) under Ostreobium quekettii. RNAcentral's name for it is "tRNA-Leu". It matches the Rfam family "tRNA". From Rfam's summary of the family: Transfer RNA (tRNA) molecules are approximately 80 nucleotides in length. Their secondary structure includes four short double-helical elements and three loops (D, anti-codon, and T loops). RNAcentral also lists the same sequence under 2 other names. Lineage: Eukaryota; Viridiplantae; Chlorophyta; Ulvophyceae; Bryopsidales; Ostreobiaceae. The record is from RNAcentral.